Molecule: ribosomal RNA, 460 nt
Filed under: uncultured bacterium
Lineage: Bacteria
Description: partial 16S ribosomal RNA
Rfam family: Bacterial small subunit ribosomal RNA
Source: RNAcentral
CCUACGGGUGGCAGCAGUGAGGAAUAUUGGUCAAUGGACGAGAGUCUGAACCAGCCAAGUCGCGUGAAGGAUGACUGCCCUAUGGGUUGUAAACUUCUUUUAUAUGGGAAUAAAAUGUUCCACGUGUGUGAUUUUGUAUGUACCAUAUGAAUAAGGAUCGGCUAACUCCGUGCCAGCAGCCGCGGUAAUACGGAGGAUCCGAGCGUUAUCCGGAUUUAUUGGGUUUAAAGGGAGCGUAGGUGGAUUGGUAAGUUAGUUGUGAAAGUUUGGGGCUCAACCGUAAAAUUGCAGUUGAAACUGGUAGUCUUGAGUACAGAAGAGGUGGGCGGAAUUCGUGGUGUAGCGGUGAAAUGCUUAGAUAUCACGAAGAACUCCGAUUGCGAAGGCAGCUCACCGGACUGCAACUGACACUGAGGCUCGAAAGUGUGGGUAUCAAACAGGAUUAGAUACCCUUGUAGUC